Molecule: long non-coding RNA, 443 nt
Organism: Clupea harengus (Atlantic herring)
Lineage: Eukaryota; Metazoa; Chordata; Actinopteri; Clupeiformes; Clupeidae
Source: Ensembl
AAUAACCCUACUCCUAAACCUGGAGACAUGGGUGCAAUUCCACGUCAAGGUGGUUACGACCACUUCGUACUUGUUGCUGACGAGGGCAAAGUGAUCCACGCCACAUCUGACACCACAGCGAGUGGGAGUGUGAUCAAAAAGGAACCUCUGGAGAAGGUGGCUGCGGGUGGAAAUUUCAAAGUAAAAAACCAAGACGACAAGAAGAUCCCUCUCCCCGUUGACACUAUUCUUUCACAGGCAAAUGCCAGAGUUGGCGAAAAAGUGGAUUACAGGCCCCUGAACUAUAAUUGUGAAACCGUUGCCUCUGAGAUGAGAUACGGGAAAGGCCAAGGCCAUUCUGAACAGGCAGAGAAAUUCAAACAAAGUGCCGCCGAAAAAGGAGAAUCCUUUCUGAGCCAUGCAAAGGACACCCACAACCACUUCGAAGGCAAUUAAGGGACGAC